RNAcentral lists this long non-coding RNA (936 nucleotides) under Aedes aegypti (yellow fever mosquito). Its description in RNAcentral is "lncRNA AAEL020961". The record is from RNAcentral. Lineage: Eukaryota; Metazoa; Arthropoda; Insecta; Diptera; Culicidae.
GUUUUUUGAAUUUCAACAAAGAUUUCACGAACCAUUCAUAUUCUCACAUGCGUUGCUAUAAAAGAGUGCUAUAAAAAUUCAAAUUUUCGUGUGAAAGCUUUUAGCAAUUAUUUAGUACUUAAAAUAGUUUUAGGAUUUAUUAUAGAUGGCUCAUCAACUUUGACAUAUUGGUCAACUGUGGUUCUCGUAUAAAUUUAUUGAAUUGGUUGUUGUAAAGGUCGAAGACAAUUACAUUAUAAUUUUGAAGGUCUUUCGAACAUCUUAGAGAUAUAAUCCCUCAUUUCUCCAUCUACGUCGGCUUAGGGCAGAAGUUAGUUGCAGUGAUAUUUCAGUUAUUCCGUUUAGUUCAAGUGAAAUUUAUGUUCCGGCUCUUACAUCACCGGCAGCGAAAACUCUGCUCUCGAGCUUUGUUUAAUUAUUACAAAAGCGUCCGGCAGACGCUUUUUAUCUUGGGCUUAAGCCCUUUACAUUAUUCACCCGCCAUCUUGCGGAAUCCAGCCUACACCCUACACGUGGUUUCUUCCCGGAGUGGAUCUCGCCUUGGCCCGCCAAAAUUGGUAGUCAAACGGGGCCGAGUGAAUUGACUGGCCUGCCUGCGUUCGUUGGGUAGAGUACCGGUCCUGCCGACACCUCCGCCCCGCAUCUGUAGUUCGGCCGUUUGAGAAGCGAGUAUUCCCGGUGGCACGACCGCCGAUCGGCGCUGAGCUCUGACGCCGCCAUAAAGAACUCCGACGAGACAGCGUUCUGGGUACAUCGCAGCUCACUGGUGUGCCCCUCGGCUGAUGAACCGGUACCGCCGAAACCGCUCAACAUAAAAUCCUGCGCAGGUAUGUGUACGAUCAUGGCCAUGCACACAACACAACACCUACACUUACACAGUCACUCACGUUUUUUUAUGAAAAGAUGAACGAAUAUACAUAAUGAAUACAACAUAAA